This 254-nucleotide ribosomal RNA is filed under the name uncultured bacterium. RNAcentral describes it as "partial 16S ribosomal RNA". It matches the Rfam family "Bacterial small subunit ribosomal RNA", at positions 524 to 776 of the family's 1533-position model. The record is from RNAcentral.
UACGUAGGGGGCGAGCGUUAUCCAGAUUUACUGGGCGUAAAGCGCGUGUAGGCGGCUGGUUAAGUGUGAUGUGAAAUCUUCGGGCUCAACCCGAAAACUGCAUUGCAAACUGGCCUGGCUAGAGUGCAGGAGAGGGAAGCGGAAUUCCAGGUGUAGCGGUGAAAUGCGUAGAUAUCUGGAGGAACACUAGUGGCGAAGGCGGCUUCCUGGCCUGCAACUGACGCUGAGACGCGAAAGCGUGGGGAGCGAACCGG